UAGGGAAUCUUCGGCAAUGGGGGGAACCCUGACCGAGCAACGCCGCGUGAGUGAAGAAGGAUUUCGGUUCGUAAAACUCUGUUGUUAGAGAAGAACAGCGCAUAGAGUAACUGUUAUGCGUGUGACGGUAUAUAACCAGAAAGCCACGGCUAACUACGUGCCAGCAGCCGCGGUAAUACGUAGGUGGCAAGCGUUGUCCGGAUUUAUUGGGCGUAAAGCGAGCGCAGGCGGUCAAUUAAGUCUGAUGUGAAAGCCCCCGGCUCAACCGGGGAGGGUCAUUGGAAACUGGUUGACUUGAGUGCAGAAGAGGAGAGUGGAAUUCCAUGUGUAGCGGUGAAAUGCGUAGAUAUAUGGAGGAACACCAGUGGCGAAGGCGACUCUCUGGUCUGUAACUGACGCUGAGGCUCGAAAGCGUGGGUAGCAAACAGG
Molecule: ribosomal RNA, 429 nt
Filed under: Bacteroidota bacterium
Lineage: Bacteria; Pseudomonadati; Bacteroidota
Description: Bacteroidetes bacterium partial 16S ribosomal RNA
Rfam family: Bacterial small subunit ribosomal RNA
Source: RNAcentral